CAGUCACCACUUUACCAAAACUGAGCACUGGACAAAGGAUGCCAUGGCUCCUACUACCCCCACACAGCAGAAUUAAACACGGAUGGGCCAAUCACGCAGGGAAUGCCAGGUGAUGGAAAUGCUGCCUCCCCAGCCAUCCUUCCUGGCAUGGGAUCCACACUGGUCCAGGGGCAGCUAUGCAUGAUGCAUGAACCAUGGUAGAUGCAGACGGUGUCCUUCGGGCCCACGAACCAACCAGCGGAUAACUCUUAGAAGUCCCAAGGAUCAUGGGCAUUGGCCCCCAUGCUCAACAUCCCAAGAUGGAAAAAAAAAACUGAAGGGAAAUAUGGCCAGGUAGCAUUCAGCAAUCCUUAUCGGUGACGGGGGCGGUGCUGUCCAGGUCACUGUGAGGCAUGUCAGACUCGGGCGAUUGUUUGUUUGGGUUUGGCUUGAUGGCGUCGCCAAUGAUCGGCAGCUUCGACUUGGGAGUAAGUUGCUUGGCUUCCUCGUAGGUGUAGAUGUAUAUCCUUUUCACCAUGCUGCAAAAUUCACUGCAGGUCAUCCCCAACCAGCAUCAUAUCAUCCUCAUCAUCUGUGUAAACAACCUUCCAUUUCUUUAGGCUAGCAGAGAGCUCUCCUUGGAUAUCAAACAUCUCUUCUAACUUGCAGCGAAGAUCAUCAUAUCCAUGGAGCCUUGUCAGGUCCACUGCCCUUCCAACUGCCAUUCCUUGCAUGAUUACCUUGGUGCAGCUCCUCACUUGCCGACUCUGAGUCUCAUGAGGAGAUGGCUCACUGCUUGCCGCUGGAGCAUCAGAUUUGUUGGCAUGUGAUGGUUGUGAGAGCUGAUCAGACUCAGCAUCUACUGAGGCAGCUGGUUGGUCUUGACCAACACCAGAAACAGCAGCCAGUGGAGAUGUAGCUUCCACAGCAGAGCUUAUCUCGAUUCCAAACAAUCUGCAGCCAGCCGAACUAGGCUCUUGCUUCUUUUCAGAUGGAACUUUGCUGAUGCUAGCAGAGUAAGAGUUGGCUCUUGUCUCUCUCAUUGGCCAGUAAAAAUGCUUGUUGCUUAGAGCAGAUGGCUCAUUCUUUGUACUGAAUCCAACAU
This 1084-nucleotide small RNA is filed under the name Oryza sativa Japonica Group (Japanese rice). RNAcentral's name for it is "sRNA Os02g0557250". Lineage: Eukaryota; Viridiplantae; Streptophyta; Magnoliopsida; Poales; Poaceae. The record is from RNAcentral.